This 301-nucleotide ribosomal RNA is filed under the name uncultured bacterium. Its description in RNAcentral is "partial 16S ribosomal RNA". It matches the Rfam family "Bacterial small subunit ribosomal RNA", at positions 509 to 807 of the family's 1533-position model. The record is from RNAcentral.
CAGUAGCCACGGUAAUACGAAGGGGGCUAGCGUUGUUCGGAUUUACUGGGCGUAAAGCGCACGUAGGCGGACUUUUAAGUCAGGGGUGAAAUCCCGGGGCUCAACCCCGGAACUGCCUUUGAUACUGGGAGUCUUGAGUUCGAGAGAGGUGAGUGGAAUUGCGAGUGUAGAGGUGGAAUUCGUAGAUAUUCGCAGGAACACCAGUGGCGAAGGCGGCUCACUGGCUCGAUACUGACGCUGAGGUGCGAAAGCGUGGGGAGCAAACAGGAUUAGAUACCCGCGUAGUCCAUGUCUCUUAUAC